GAUGAAUUUUACUCUGCUUUAUAUGUAAAACAUUAAGCUGACUUCGUUCUUUGUGCAACCAUUUUAACAAUAUGCAUGAAGUCUCUAUGCGGAUAUAUACUUUCUGUAUUAUCUUAUCCUGUUUCAUUUCACAGUCAGAAGCAAAAUGUAGCCAGAACACAAGCGUUGAAUAUAGGUUUGGAUCUCAAUGUGGUUUUAUAUGCCACUGUGUAAUUAAUGAGCAAUGUGAUGUUGAUACUGGAGAAUGUCCAUCAGGAUGUGAUUUUGAGUGGGUUGGACCUGGAUGUCAGUACAAAAAUAUUGCUGUUAACAGCACUGGUACGUAUGAAAGACAACUAGAUAACGUUCACCCUGGCUUAUGGCCCCAAUUAGCAAACGACCGUAAUUUAUCAACAUGUAGUCACACAGGAGAUGAAAACAGACUCAGGGUUGUAAACCCCUGGUGGCUAGUUUGGUUGCCUUACAAUUUUACCUUACGACAGAUGGAGAUACUGACUAUUGACAAUAAAAGAAAAUACUUUGACGGAUUCAAAGUUAUCGUCAAAUACGCACUGAUGACCAGUCAGAUGCUUGUUAUACUCACGGUAAUAUAGCGCUGGAGUCUGUAUCCAAGACAGUGACUUGCGAAAAGAUUCACUCCGGAAAUCAAAUCAUAAUACAACUUGGUAGGAAGAAUACACAGCUCGUUCUUUGUGAUGUAAGAAUAUAUGGAGACUGUGCUGAAAAUGUCUGUGGAGAUAAAUGUGAUAAGCUUUGUUAUUGUACGGACAAUACAGCUUACAAUAAAGUGUCAGGAAUAUGCUCAAAUGGAUGUAAAGGAAGAUGGUCGGGCAAAGAUGGAGCUUGUGAUAUAGAAUGUGCCAAUGACAAGUGGGGAGAGUCAUGUGAUACUAAAUGCGGCCAAUGUCGAAAUGAUACACCAUGUGAUGUGGUUACUGGAAAAUGUCCCUCUGGAUGUAAAGAUGGCUACAAAGAUACAGAAAUGUGUGACAUUGGUAACGCCGAUGUUUAUAACUCGAACUUGUUAUUAUUCCUUUAAAGUUAUCUGUCAAUACAUUACAUAACACGCGUUAUCUAUAGCAUGGCCAAUACGUAAACUGUAAGCACAGUUGCAUAUGUUGUCAAUGUUGUUCAUGUAUAUUAUAUCCUAAAAUGACACUAAACAUUAACCAAAUGAUAUCACUCUGGCCAUAGCUUUAUCAGAUCAAGUGGUCCUAACGU
Long non-coding RNA from Mercenaria mercenaria, 1221 nucleotides. RefSeq lists it as uncharacterized. The transcript is spliced from 6 exons. The record is from RefSeq and is a predicted model, not a curated record. NCBI's taxonomy places the organism in Eukaryota, Metazoa, Mollusca, Bivalvia, Venerida, Veneridae.